CGGGGCGCACGAGGUCCGCGCGGGUCCUACCUGGAGCGACACCGCGCGGCAGGGCGCCAGGCUCCGCGGCGUGGGCCGCCGCGCCCGCCCCAGAGGUCGUUUCCCCUGCAGUUUCCAACAUGGCAGGCAGGCAGGUUUUAUAGACAUGGACAAGAAGUCUGCACACAGAAGUUCUGAGGAUGCCAGGACCGGCAAAAGUGGAGGUAAACACAAACAAAAGAAAAGAGAAAAGCAAAACCAAGAACACCACCGAUCCCGACAUAGGUCAACAUCUCAUUCUUCAGAUGACUGUGUGUUUCCUUCUUCUGUAUCAUCUUCAGGAAGCCAACGGAUUCAAGUCUAGAAGGUGCUGCCAAGGGAAGAAUUAAGAGAAAGAGAGGAAAGAAAAGGAGUAAACGGAGAAAAGAAAGAAAGGAGGCAUCUUCCAAGAUGUCCAUCAUUCUGUCUGGUCCUCCGUCUUUGAUCCGCACCAUUUGCCACUGAGACAUCAUCCUUCCUGUCUGCCUAGUCCUUUCAGGACAGAAGAUGAAACAGCAAGAAAAAAGAAGAAAAACAGGAGGAAACAAUCACAUGAUAUCACCUUUCCAAGAGGGGCUGCAACCAGGUUGGACUUUGUGAUUUCCCGCACUCAACCUUUGGGUGCAAGGUGGUCUCAGGGCGCCGAGCCCGGCUCUGUGAAACUUGCAGAGACCUGGAACAGCUCGGGGAUGGCAUGUCCUUCGGCCAUGUCUAGACUCCUGAAGCCAGUCUCCGCCUCCUCUGUAGCCACACAAUAAAGAGCUGGGAAAUCCCAUUUUGUUGUGAAGGUCCACAUGCAGUUCUCGACUCUGACCUACAAGCCCCUUGUGGCAUUUUAGGAUGUUUAUCCUGUAUUCAAAUAUUUGAUGGGGAAGGAGGAGAUUGAACCUGCUCUCUUGAAUAUUAUGCCUAAUAAUUGCAUCUAAAAUACCUAUACUGAAGUCCCACACAAAGCAAAAACUUACAAAUGCAUGAAAAGGUAAAGGCUUAUUCAUGCAUGUCUUAGUUUUUCUUCCCAAGUUUUGGUGAUUUUUUUUUU
This is a non-coding RNA of Sus scrofa (pig), 1057 nucleotides long. NCBI's taxonomy places the organism in Eukaryota, Metazoa, Chordata, Mammalia, Artiodactyla, Suidae. The record is from RefSeq and is a predicted model, not a curated record.